CGGAACAUGAAUUCUCGAUAAAUGCGACACCACAAUCAGAUGGACCAGCGAGAAGUCCGCGUAGCAGAUAAAACAGAGACGGAAAUAUCUAGACAGCAUAUUGAAGAACUUGAAAAUUGUAUUCCAUCUUAUAUACAGCAAAAUGACAAAAUAAAGGAAUAUAGAGCCACCUUUCCUAAGACCAUAAUACAAAAAGAAUUUGCCCACUACAAUUGAGUUACUGCCGUUUUCCUCACUUAAACCGAGAAUCAAGAUAUCGCAGGAUACAGAUUCCACAAGGAUCCGCAUUUGGAUGGCGACCUUAUCCAAUUUUGCAAGGCUUCUGAAAGAUCCAGGCUGCUGCGACAAGUAGACAUGUCAAGUAUUAGGCUUUGCACCCAGCAUCAGUUCCGCCUCUCCCGAUCACAUUGUGAUAUGCUAUUAUUGCAGCUGUUGCCACAAGGGGGAUAGCUUUGCCCCACUCGGGAGCUCCCAGUCCUUGGGUAUAUGCUUGGUAUUGGAAGGAAUCAUGCAGCCUGGACAAGGUCAAGAAAACUGAAGCAAAUCAGAUUUAUCAACAAAAAGGUCUAUGUUGUCCAAUAAAGUGAAGGAAGGCAUUUCAAAA
Molecule: long non-coding RNA, 604 nt
Filed under: Eucalyptus grandis
Lineage: Eukaryota; Viridiplantae; Streptophyta; Magnoliopsida; Myrtales; Myrtaceae
Description: long non-coding RNA (EGRA_LNC006562)
Source: RNAcentral